This 2165-nucleotide long non-coding RNA is filed under the name Theobroma cacao (cacao). RNAcentral describes it as "long non-coding RNA (TCAC_LNC000381)". The record is from RNAcentral. Lineage: Eukaryota; Viridiplantae; Streptophyta; Magnoliopsida; Malvales; Malvaceae.
UUCUCUUCAUAUGGCCGGCCAAAGCAAGAACAAAGGAAGAAAAGAAAGAAAAAGAACCCUAGGGUGAAAAUUCAAGAGAAAAUUGGUGGAUUUCAAGUAAUCAAGCAAUCAAAGGUAAAAUUUCUUGAUUUUGAAUUGUGAUCUACCUUUCCCAUGCAUUCUUUUGCAUUUUCCAUGGUUGAAUCACAAGAUAUCAUGAAGGAUUCAUGGCUGACUAAAUUUAGAGAGAGAAGAUUUAAUGAUUUAUUUGGUUAGAUUUUGAGAUAUUUUAGUGUUUGUAGUUGAUUUAUCAUGUUUGGAAGGAAAACAAGUAAGAAAAAUCACAUAUUCUUCAUGGAUUCUUCAUUGGCCGAAUUUCAUAAAGACAAUAUUGAAGAUGAAUAUUGUGAUGUCUUAUGUUAUUUAGUUAGAAUUUAAUGAAUUGUGGUGGUGGAAACCGAAAAUGGUAAUGUUUAGCAUGAAAAACUAUAUAACCCUCAAGAACCUCCAUUGGUUGAAUCUUCCAUGUGGAAUAUUGAGGAUGAUUUUGAUUUUAUUUCAAGUGACUUGGUUAGGAAUUAGUGAUUUAUGGUGUGAGAAUCAAGCUUGAAAAAAAUUAUAGUGUUGAUGCACCCACCAUGGUCGAAUUUUCUAAGAGAAAAUGUGAGGAUGAUUUUGCCAUUUUUCAAGUUAUUUAAUUUGUGUUUGAUGAUUUGGAGUAUUGGGAGAAAAAUGGAAUUAUUUGGAGUUGAAUUGGACGUAUUGGCCAAUUAAUCGGGUGAUAGAUCAAAUUAGGCCAAUACCGUUUUAUUUAGGGACAUAAUUGAAUUUAUAUUGAACACCGUAUUUAGAUAGUUACCUGAGUGUUUCACAUCCCAUUUCAUGCAUUAGUAUAGAGCCUGAAUUGGUUUUAUAACAAUUUAGCACAAAUGUAGUAAAUGGCUUAUUGUGCAUUAUGUCUAGGUGUUGAGCAUUCUAGCAAAAGUAAAGAGAUAGUACCCGAGGAUCAAGAAUCAGAGUACUCGAAAUUCGACUCCCGAAAUAGUGAGUAACCUUACUAUCAUCUUAAUUAUCUAAAGUGGUUUUUAUCCGAUUUUGUGAUUUUAUGGAAAAUGAGUUAAAUGGUAAAUCUUUGUGUUUUGUAAUUAAAAUGUGAUUUAAUGAAAUGAUUUUAUAACAUUGUCUUGAAAUGAAAUGAUGGUUUGAAAAUAGAGUAAUUGGAGACUGUUUUCAUGUGUUGUAAAUUCAUGGUUUGAAUCGAAUGGCUUAUGACAAUAUUUGCAUGAAUGGCUGAAUUGGUAUUUAUAUUGAAAUAUAUGAACUGUGUAUUUAGCCUUGAGAGACUGGAUUGUGAUAUAAUUGCCAUGUCAUGCGGUUGAGAUUUUAUUGAAUUGGUGGGUUCAACUUGCUACGGGGGGCGAGUUCCGUGGACCAACCGAUGAGAGGGGCACGGUAACCCCGUUAUAUUCUUACCUCAGUCGAAGAGGCAUGUAGGGUAACUCUCAAGGUACAACUUUAGAGUUCACUUCACGCCAAACCACCACGUGAGGGUGAACUCAGCCAACGGCAAGGAAUGACUAUGUUUUCAAAAUAAAAACAUGAUUUAUGCGUACAUGACUUUAUAACAGCCUUGACGGACUAGGUUGGGAUAGCCCUAGGCCAAGGUAUCCCUGAUAACCGAGUAUGAGAAUGAUUUUGGCACGAGCCAAAGUUUUAAGAAAUUCAUAAGCCAUGUUGAUUACUCGAUUUAUAUGAAUUGAUUUUAUUUGGUUGAAAUUAGUUGAAAGCUGAUGAAUUACAGUAUGUUGAACUAUUUUAUUUGUCUUCAUUUACUCAGCUUUAGAUAUUUUAGAUGGUAUUUGUUUACUCACUGGGAUUAUAUAAUCUCACCACCCUCCUUUCCACCCAUUUCAGGUUCAAGAUAGUCGGUAGAUAGCUCACUUUGUUGAGGGCUACAGUUGAACUUGCAUCCUUAAAAACUGUAGGUUUACCGCUUUAGAUACUUUUGGUCGUUCGUGGGCCCACGUGUCACUGUAAAUUAAAUUUUAUACUUUGGUUAUCUGUAUUACAGUAUGUAUGAAUUUAUUUAGCUUUUACGCUACAAAAAUUAUUUACCGGUAACUCUAUAAAUAUUGUUUUAUAAGAAAAUAUAAUAUUUUAUUGAAUAUUUUUAUUAUAUUCAAAUA